Molecule: ribosomal RNA, 541 nt
Filed under: uncultured bacterium
Lineage: Bacteria
Description: bacterial SSU rRNA
Rfam family: Bacterial small subunit ribosomal RNA
Source: RNAcentral
UAAGGAAUAUUGGUCAAUGGACGCAAGUCUGAACCAGCCAUGCCGCGUGGAGGAUGAAGGCCCUCUGGGUUGUAAACUUCUUUUAUUGGGGAAGAAACCGGUGUUUUCUAACGCCGUUGACGGUACCUGAUGAAUAAGCACCGGCUAACUCCGUGCCAGCAGCCGCGGUAAUACGGAGGGUGCAAGCGUUAUCCGGAUUCACUGGGUUUAAAGGGUGCGUAGGUGGGCAGGUAAGUCAGUGGUGAAAUCUCCGGGCUUAACCCGGAAACUGCCGUUGAUACUAUUUGUCUUGAAUAUAGUGGAGGUGAGCGGAAUAUGUCAUGUAGCGGUGAAAUGCUUAGAUAUGACAUAGAACAUCGAUUGCGAAGGCAGCUCGCUACACUAUUAUUGACACUGAGGCACGAAAGCGUGGGGAUCAAACAGGAUUAGAUACCCUGGUAGUCCACGCCCUAAACGAUGGAUACUCGACAUCAGCGAUACACGGUUGGUGUCUGAGCGAAAGCAUUAAGUAUCCCACCUGGGAAGUACGACCGCAAGGUUG